This 150-nucleotide unclassified non-coding RNA is filed under the name uncultured Catenulostroma. RNAcentral's name for it is "sequence contains ITS2". Lineage: Eukaryota; Fungi; Ascomycota; Dothideomycetes; Mycosphaerellales; Teratosphaeriaceae. The record is from RNAcentral.
CACCACUCAAGCCUCGCUUGGUCUUGGGCGUCCGCGGUUCCGCCGCGCGCCUCAAUGUCUCCGGCUGAGCCGUUCGUCUCGAAGCGUUGUGAUCCACAGUCCGCUUGCGAGGGCGAUCGGCUUGUUCGCCGUUAAACCCCCCAUUUUUCA